CGCGGGGUAGAGCCGUGGUCAGCUCGCUACUUUGACUUGGUAGAGGUCGGUGAUUCGAAUUCAUCCCCCGCAA
This 73-nucleotide transfer RNA is filed under the name Bacteroides helcogenes. Its description in RNAcentral is "tRNA-Val". RNAcentral also lists the same sequence under 1 other name. The record is from RNAcentral. Lineage: Bacteria; Pseudomonadati; Bacteroidota; Bacteroidia; Bacteroidales; Bacteroidaceae.